GACGAACGCUGGCGGCGUGCUUAACACAUGCAAGUCGAACGGAAAGGCCCUGCUUUGUGGGGGUGCUCUACUUGCGAACGGGUGAGUAACACUUGAGUACCGUAUCCUUGACUUUGGGAUAACUUCAUGAAACUGGGUCUAAUCCCGCAUAGGAUCUCUUGCUGCAGGGUGGGGGUGGGAUGGUUUCGCCGGUUGGGAAUGGACUCGCGUCUUAUCAGCUUGUUGGUGGGGUAGUGUCUUACCAUGGCUUGGACGGGUAGCCGGGCUGAGAGGCUGACAGGCCAAACUGGGACUGAGAUGAGACACAGACUACUCCCGGAGGCAAGAGUGCAGAAUAGUGCACUAUGGGCGGAAGCAUGAUGUAGUAAAGCAGCGUGGGGGAUGACGGGAUUCGGGUUGUAAACCGCUUUCGCCUGUGACGAAGCGUGAGUGACGGUAAUGGGAAAAGAAGCACCGGCUAACUACGUG
This 468-nucleotide ribosomal RNA is filed under the name uncultured bacterium. RNAcentral describes it as "partial 16S ribosomal RNA". It matches the Rfam family "Bacterial small subunit ribosomal RNA", at positions 28 to 507 of the family's 1533-position model. The record is from RNAcentral.